GUGAGGAAUAUUGGUCAAUGGGCGGGAGCCUGAACCAGCCAAGUCGCGUGAAGGAAGAAGGAUCUAUGGUUCGUAAACUUCUUUUGCAGGGGAAUAAAGUGCAGGACGUGUCCUGUUUUGUAUGUACCCUGAGAAUAAGGAUCGGCUAACUCCGUGCCAGCAGCCGCGGUAAUACGGAGGAUCCGAGCGUUAUCCGGAUUUAUUGGGUUUAAAGGGUGCGUAGGUGGUUUGAUAAGUCAGCGGUGAAAGUUUGCAGCUUAACUGUAAAAAUGCCGUUGAAACUGUCGGACUUGAGUGUAAAUGAGGUAGGCGGAAUGCGUGGUGUAGCGGUGAAAUGCAUAGAUAUCACGCAGAACUCCGAUCGCGAAGGCAGCUUACUAAGCUACAACUGACACUGAAGCACGAAAGCGUGGGGAUCAAACAGGAUUAGAAACCCGAGUAGUCC
RNAcentral lists this ribosomal RNA (445 nucleotides) under uncultured bacterium. Its description in RNAcentral is "partial 16S ribosomal RNA". It matches the Rfam family "Bacterial small subunit ribosomal RNA", at positions 354 to 796 of the family's 1533-position model. The record is from RNAcentral.